This is a long non-coding RNA of Cryptomeria japonica (Japanese cedar), 550 nucleotides long. RefSeq lists it as uncharacterized. Lineage: Eukaryota; Viridiplantae; Streptophyta; Pinopsida; Cupressales; Cupressaceae. The transcript has 3 exons. The record is from RefSeq and is a predicted model, not a curated record.
CAACGGUUAUUUUUUAAAUCAUAUUAUUUUAGGCCUGCAGUACAGUUCAUCUUCCAUUAGUAUGAAUUUUGCAUACUAAUCCAUCUGCUGUAGAUUCAGUCAGGUAUUCUCUUUUUUCUUGCUGGAAUUGAUGAAAAAGAUGGACAACAAUUAGUGAUUGUAAAGAGGAUGGCAGGCAAAUUCGACAUUUGAAAGGGGUGUUGUUGAUAGGAAGAAUGAAGGAUUAGAUUAGUAGUCCCAGGCAAUUCAAACUUUUAUAAUCUGUACAAAGAUGCACUUCCCAAACGAAGAAAAGAAAAUAGAGAGAAAAUGCUGCAAUCAAUGGAACUCUAGAAGAUCCAAGUUGAGGGAAACCUACUAACAGGUGAGAUCUUGCAGUCAACUUUCUGUCUGGAAAUUCAAUUCAUUUAUAUUCUAGGAAAAUAAAAAAUUUACAAGAAGCUGCUAACAUAAUAUUUCCUAUCACUUGCUAAACCCUUAGGAAUUUCUAAUUCUCUUCUACUGCUGCUCUCAAGCUUCCUAAUAUAUUCAUUGCACACAAAAACCAACA